UUAAAAUGUAAAUAAAUUUUUUAAGGAGUAUUAGUUAAAAUCUUAAAAAUUAAAAAAUUUGGCGGUAUUUUAGUCUAUUCAGAGGAACCUGUCCUAUAAUUGAUAAUCCACGAUUAAUUGUACUUAUUUUAAAUAAUUUUCAUAUCGUUGUAGUUUGAAUAUUUUAAUAGAAAUAAAUAUUCAUAAUUUUGGAUGAAAAAUAAAUCAAAUCAAGGUGUAGUUUAUAAAUAAGAAGAGAUUGGUUACAAUAAAAAUAUUUAUAUGGAUUAUAAAUUGAAAAAUUUAUAUUAAAGUGGAUUUGAUAGUAAUUUUAUUUAUUUUUUUAAGAUGAUUUUAGCUCUAAAAUGUGU
Molecule: ribosomal RNA, 350 nt
Filed under: Fallia sp. CO937
Lineage: Eukaryota; Metazoa; Arthropoda; Insecta; Coleoptera; Discolomatidae
Description: partial 12S ribosomal RNA
Source: RNAcentral